Molecule: long non-coding RNA, 5773 nt
Filed under: Homo sapiens (human)
Lineage: Eukaryota; Metazoa; Chordata; Mammalia; Primates; Hominidae
Description: HSALNT0393837
Source: RNAcentral
UGUAAACUAUAAUUUCCCUACUGAUCCUAUAGAACGCUACAUCUUAUUUUUUCUUUCAAAUUGUAUACUUGUACCCAUUAGUCAACCUUUCUUCAUCCCCUUUGAUUAUUUUUCAGAAUUUCAUUUUGAUUUAUUUAUAGUGUUCCAAGUACAUUGUUUCUUCUGGUUUUUGUAGUGGUUGCUCUAGGCAUUACAAUAUAUACACUAACCACAGUAAACUAGUAUUGCUGUUUAACCACUCUGAAGUGUGGAAAACUUACUUCCAUUUUGAUACCGUUAGCUUCCCUACUCUGAAAGUAUAGUUGUCCUAAGUAUUCCUCUGCAUACACAGAGCACUACAUCACAUGAUGUUAUAAUUUUUGCUUCAACCAUCAAGUACGAUUUAGUAACUCAUAAGCAGAAAGUCUAUUUACCCCUGCUUUCACCCAUUCUGUUGUCCUUUCCUUCCUGAAGUUCCAAACCUUCUGUCAUUAUUUUAUUUCUGUUUGGAGAACCUCCGGUAGUAAUUCUUUGAGGAUAGGUCUGUUAGGGACCCACUCUUUUAGUUUUUCUUUAUCUGAGAAUGUCUUAUUUUCCCUUCAUUCUUAAAGGAUACAUAUGAGGGAUAUAGAAUUUAUAGUUGACGGUUCUUUUCUUUUAGCACUUGCAAAAUGUUGCGCCCCUUCCUGCUAGCCUCCAUGGUUUCAGAUGAGCAAUGUGCUGUCAUUUGGACUGGUGUUCCCCUAUAGGGAAAGAGAAACAAAAUCCAUGGUGGAUCAAGCUGAUGAAAAACAGCUAAUGUGUCCUGAAAUCAGUUGGCUGAACCAGUGAGGUUCAUCACCCUUUUCUUGGGUUAUAUUUGCUCAUAAUGUGAAGUUAGUUUGAGAUUUUGAAAGCAGUUUGGAAGAAUCACUCAUGGUCACAGUCUAUUUGCAAACCUAUCAACGCUGGAGAUUUGAUGCUGUCACUGAGGUACACACUGCUCAAAGCAACACAGAAAUUCUGGCAGGGUCUACGCAUGGCAGGGGCUGGAAGGGACCUGCCCAGAUUCCAUGAGAACACGCAGAUCAGGGCAGCUCUCUGUGGAGGCAUCCUGCGGCACCAGAGUAUUUAGGAGAGAUACAAAACCCCAUUAAUUUUACAAGCAUGGCAAGAGCACAGCCUCAGCAGCGGCAGCGUCAUCAUUUGGUUGACAGAAAGCACAUGUUUUUGCACACAUGGACUUCAAAAUAGCCACAUCAAAACAAAAAUGUGUUUCCAACAGCCCAGCAUGUGGCAUGGACUGAAGUUUUAAUUGGUAAGCAUAUGGUGAAAACCAGCAAGGGCCCCUCCUGGCGGCUUCAUUACAGACAGGGACAUGGGGUCAGUUGGCUGCCAUAAGCCUGUGUCUACUCACCACCCCAGGGAUCUGGGCAAAGUAGGGAGGCUCUGUGAUUGAUGGCUAUUUGACUUCAGCCUGCGGGUGUGCACUGCCAUGUUCCAUUCCACUGAACAUGCAGGACUCUACCCAAGCAGCGGCUCUGGCCCUGAUUAGGCUGCCUGGGCAGGUGUGCUAACAGACACGCGAGCUCUGGAAAAGCCACACUCUUGUGGGGGAGGAGUACAAUUUCAUCCCAAUACACUAGGGCCUAACUUCUUGGAAUCAGGUAUUUCAAUUUGUGAUUUCAACCACUGGGGUGGUAUCUUUUUUUCAUGACUGCUGGGGAGGUAGUAAUCGGCAAAGUCAUCUCCUGCCCAGAAUACAUGACUCAGUGUCUACAAGGUCUGAUUGCAAAUCUGAGGCCAUCCUAAUGAUGAACAAAUUAAAUAACUGUCACACACAUUCAAGUCAAGCAAAACUGCCAGGGUCCACGGCAGAGCCCUUCUCUAGCUGUCUUAAUCAAACACAGGAAAGUUGUCUGAGGGCCAAGACCUUGCCUUCCUCUCCUGCUGGAGGGCCCCAGCGUGGUCCUGGGGCCAGCGUCUGCUCACAGCAUUCUUACUGAUACUCAGGAAGCACCCAGGACAGCCCUGAGACUCCACACCGAACUCCAGAACAUUUCUCCUCCCCUUUCCCAUUAUCUUUCAGCAGGAUUUCCCUCACUCAUACUUCUCUCCGUGCACACACACACACACACACACACACACACACACACACACACACAGUUCCUUCUGAGUGUCUCUAAGCCAGGUCUGCUGCCCUCUGGGAAAAUGCAGGAAAACGUCUCAUUUAUACCCACCAAGUCCCGAGGAAACGGGAGAAACCAUAUAAUCCUGUAGGAAAAGUCCUAAAGGGAGCUAUGACCUUUGGCAACAACUAGGGAGAAAAGGUGCUUGUUUCCCUCCUAGGAAUGUUUACAACUUCUCACUGUUACCAGUCCCAGAAUUUAAUGAGCCUUUCUCUGGCCUGAAAAUGUGGUGUUGGUGGUGAAAGACAGACACAGCGACCCAUGAGACUGACCUAGCUCUGUCACAGAGGCUAGAGAGAAGCAGAUUAGAGAGGAUCCUGAACAACCUGCCGUGAUAUCCGUGUGGCAAAAGUGAGUGAGCUCUGCCACCAGUGGGCACAGGGAAACCCCCACCUCUCAACUGCCAGCAGACACAAUAACGAAAAUACUUUUGUAAGAGUGAUGGAUGUGUAAGAUAAAAUGCACGGUGCCCUGGGAAGGCAUGGCAAGGGUCUUUGGCAAGGCCUGGAACGUAAGUCUCUGUGGCAAAAUGAUGUUUGAGUCUCAAGGGGUAAAAAUGAGUUAAAAGGGGGGAAAUGCUGAGAAUGCCCUGGGCAGAGGGAAGUGCACAUGCAGGCACCCAGAGCCCACUGCGUGCCGGAGGGAAUGAAAGCUGCGUGGCCUGGCAGGAGGAGUGAGAGGAGGUUUGGGUGGUUGUCAGGGGCCAGGGCAACCAGCGCUGUGUGUUGAUGGAGGGAUCUGGGACUUUACUCUAAGGACAGUGAUGUCUGCUCUGUGUUUCAUUUUGUCUGAGGUGAGCCCUGUCUCCACCUGCAUCACAGGCAAGCAAGGCUUUCUGCUGGGAACAGCUUGGGUGUGCCUGCGAGCUGUGGAGUGAGGCCCCUAGUCAGUGUGGAAUCAAGAGUCCACGAAGCAAACCUUAGAGAGAGAGACAGAGGAGGAAGAGGUGAACACCAAUCAGUGGAGCUCAAGAGAAAAAGAAAAUAAAAACACAGCACCACUGGAAGAACACAUGGGUCGCAAAAUGAGGAGAGAAAUGAGGAACGAGCCGGCCUGAGGACUUCGGCCAGCUGGUCCCUGUAUGAAGUCCGCCAGGGCAGACCAUCACUCACACAAUCUUGUUUUCUUUGUCCCUCCCAAAUCCCAACACCAACUCCUCAUCUGGUCCCCAAAACCUCACUGGACAUCAGGUCCUGCUUGCCUAAGUGCAGUAAAAAUCAAACUUACUACAUAUUGAGCACCUUCUACACCCAGAUGCUGUACCAGGAAUCAUAUUACAUCAUCCUCUUUGGUUCCCACACCUACAAUAUAAAGUGAAGAUUGAUGUCCCCAUGUGAGAAAUAAGGAAACAUGUUCAGAGAGGUUAAGCAACUUGCCCAGAGCUACACAGUAGGCUGGCUACUCUCUGACUGUUUGAUCCAUGCUCUGUUCUGCUCUGUGCCUGAGGAUGCUGACUCCCGCACAGAACACCAGCUGUAUUUGCUCUCCCUCUCCCUGGCUCAGCCCCUGGAAGUUCUAGCAAAGGUAGGAAGAAGGAAACUGGGAUAUUAACACCCCUGCUUCCUUCACGUAGGGCCUUAGUUUGGCAGAGGUUGUCAGGCCACUGUUUCUGUCCCUUGGUCUCUCUCCUCUGGCCACAACUCUUACCAAGUCCUAGUCAUUCACCAAGUUUCUUCAGGCCUGAAGGUGGGAACAGUGUCCCACGACCGCUAGUCUCUGGGUGAAGCAUCACCACAUUUUGAUGGUCCCAUGACCUCCCUAUACCUCUGUAAACAGUCCCUUCACUGAAUAUAUUCAGCAACCCUCUGACCAACAGGACCUCACUGCUAAGCAGAGCUCAUGCUAGCAGAGCUUGCAUUUGAACCUGGAUUGGCUGGACUGCAAAGCUCGGGCUGUUAAUCACAGGGCUAUACUGUGUGGUGGGUGACUUAAGCAAUCAAGAAGUACAUAAUCAUUCCUGGAAUUAAGCGUGUACGCACACGUGCACACACACACGCGCACACACACACAGUGGGCAGGAAUGUUUCAAUGUUGCUUUCAUCCACGUCCCUGACAGCCGAGUUCAGAGUGUCCAAUUAGAAUUUCUGGUUAUGCAAUUUUUCUUUGAAGUGAUAAAUUGGUGGUAGAAAGUUCUGAACUUGAUACAUCUCUGGGUGGCUUCAGUUGAUUUCAAUCUGUGGUAGUGUCUAGAUGACUCUGCCAGGACUUGGCUUUCUGGCAGGUCUUAUGAAACCAAGGGCUGGGCCAGCCAGUUCUAUAAUAGUUGCUCCAAACUGUGUAGAUUCCAGGGACCUCCCCAGCUCAGAGCUAAUAACUAACACGAUUGACUACAGACGUGUGUUUUAAUCACAGAAAUCUGAAAAAGGUCCCAAGAGAAAAAAGCUUACAACUUUCAAAAUCUUUUAGACUUUGCCUUUGGUGUUAGACCAGUUCUUCCUAGGUUGUUCACUUGGAUUCACUCUAGAGCAAGGUUUCUCAGCCUGGGUACCUGGGUAUUCUAGGUUGAAUAAUUCCUUCUUCUGGGAGACUGUCUCAUGAGCUGCAGGAUGUUUAGCAGAAUCCCUGGUUUCUACUCACUAGAGGCUUCAGCACCAACCUUCCACUUCUCCUCUGCUAUUGUGGCAACUGAAAAUGUCUCCAGACACUGCCAAAUGUCCCCCAGGAGAGCAAACUCACCCCUGGUUGAGAAUCACUGCUCUACAGGAAUAGUUGCAUGAGGAUGGGCACAAACUCAGCUUCACAAAAGAAAUUCUACUCAAGCCUCACAAAAGAGACAGCUUAUCACUUGCAAAAUACUGAUUCAAUAGCCUAAUUUUUAUGCCUUAAAAGUUAAGCCAUGCUUUGUCCUCAAGUUUCAGAGUUUGAUUUUCCAGAGGUUCAGACCUAAGCCCCACUGAAGAUGACUUCAGAGAUGGCUUAGGCCUGAACCUGCUUGACCCGAACAAUUUUGACCAUGUAUAGUCAAAAUUACCUUCAAAAGUCCCUUUGGACAGUGCUACCUUAUAGAUCCCAUAACUUCUCCAUGGUUUUGACAAUCACGGUUUUAAUUUAGCGUCAGUGGAACUCCUUAAGUGCUGGGAUUGCAUUCAUGGGCUGUGUUACCCCCAAAUACAAAUCUGUAAACUCUAAACUCACAUUUGAAGCAGCAAAUUGUUCAUACGACAAGGGGCACGUUGGAAUCAGGAAUGGUUCAAGGAAAAGAAGAAAAGAUCUAUGCUCCUUGUGGUCAUGCUCCCUCAGGGACAUGCACUUAAUAUGAAUGUUAGACAGGAUUAAAAGCGCUAUUUAAAUUAGAAUUUCCACUUCCCACUCUUGCCCCUCAGAUUACGCUUCUGAUUAAGUUCACUUGCUUAAAUAUGUAUAUAAUGCUACUGUAGUAUCAUACAGGAUAAAAAAGAAGCAAUUUCAGGUUCAAUUAUUCUCAUAUUGAUAACAUAUAGGGUGACUAUUCUAUUAGAGUCAGAUCCUCAGAAAGAAAUGGCCCAGAUAUGUCAACUCUCUGUAAAAGUUUCCUCUCUAUUAAUUAUACCAACAUCAUUUAUUCAGUCCUUAUGGAGUGGCCUGCAUAGUCAAAGAUGUGUCCUCCACCCAUGGCUCAUGUAAUAAAUUUCUUCCUGGGUAGAGAG